GACGAACGCUGGCGGCGUGCUUAACACAUGCAAGUCGAACGGAAAGGCCUGCUUUCCCUUGUGGAUUGCGGGUACUCGAGUGGCGAACGGGUGAGUAACACGUGAGUGAUCUGCCCCCAACUUGGGUAUAAGCCUGGGAAACUGGGUCUAAUUCCCGAUAGGCCUGCAGGGUGGUGCCUGUGGUGGAAAACGAUUUUCUAGUGGUUGGGGAUGAGCUCGCGGCCUAUCAGCUUGUUGGUGGGGUAAUGGCCUACCAAGGCGGCGACGGGUAGCCGGCCUGAGAGGGUGGACGGCCACAUUGGGACUGAGAUACGGCCCAGACUCCUACGGGAGGCAGCAGUGGGGAAUAUUGCACAAUGGGCGGAAGCCUGAUGCAGCGACGCCGCGUGGGGGAUGACGGCCUUCGGGUUGUAAACUCCUUUCGACCGCGAGGAAGCCACCUGGUUGGAAGGGUGGUGACGGUAGUGGUAGAAGAAGCACCGGCUAACUACGUG
This 494-nucleotide ribosomal RNA is filed under the name uncultured bacterium. Its description in RNAcentral is "partial 16S ribosomal RNA". It matches the Rfam family "Bacterial small subunit ribosomal RNA", at positions 28 to 507 of the family's 1533-position model. The record is from RNAcentral.